UUUCAAAUUUUUCAUUAAUUCCUUUACAGUACUGAUUCUCUAUCGUUUAUAAAUAAUUUCAUAAAAAUUACUUUUUAAUUCUUAUAUUUCUAAAAACUUUUUUUAUACAACGAUGUGAAUU
This 121-nucleotide ribosomal RNA is filed under the name Chthamalus stellatus. RNAcentral's name for it is "partial 16S ribosomal RNA". Lineage: Eukaryota; Metazoa; Arthropoda; Thecostraca; Balanomorpha; Chthamalidae. The record is from RNAcentral.